Long non-coding RNA from Astatotilapia calliptera (eastern happy), 3731 nucleotides. NCBI's taxonomy places the organism in Eukaryota, Metazoa, Chordata, Actinopteri, Cichliformes, Cichlidae. The record is from Ensembl.
GUAAGUCAAGAUAAAUCAAAGAGCCAACUGAAAAAACUGAAGGUAAAGGAACCUUAAAGACUGAAGUGAGACCAUACAGUCAGAGUGAAACCGACUAGAAAAUGCCCAAUAAAUGAAAGAGGAUACUCCUCCACUUCCUGCCCCAAGUGGAGGAGUUUAAGUAUCCAGGGUCUUGAUCACAAGUGACGGGAGCAGGAGAUCGAUAGAUGGAUUGUUGCUGUGAUUACAGUGAGGUGGACACUGUACUGGUCUGUCAUGGUGUAGAGAGAGCUGAGUGUAAAAGCAAAGCUCUCGAUUUACAGUCACUCUAUGUCCCUACCCUCACUUAUGGUUAUGAGCUGUGGUGACCAAAAGAAUGAGGCCUCACCCUUAGAGAUAGGGUGAGCAGUUCAGGCAUCCGGGAGGGUGUAGAAGUAGAGCCGCUGCUCCGUCACAUCGAAAGGAGCCAGUUGAGGUGGUUUGGGGAUCUGGAUGCUUCCUGGGCGCGGUUUUCUGGGAGAUUAUAUCUCUCGGCUGGCUUGGGAACGACUUGGUGUCCCACCGGACAAGCUGGAGGAGGUGGGCGGGGAGUGGGAGGUCUGGGCUUUUCUGCUUAGGUUGCAGCCCCCCUGACCGGCCCCGGAUAAGCAGAAGAAGGUCGAUAGAUGGAUCAUGGAUAACCAAAACAAAGACCCAAAAAAACAUACAAUCCUCAAAACACAAGUCUCCCCAUUAUUAUUACAAAGAAAAGAAAAGAAAAAGCUUAGACAGAAACCUAAAGUCAGAUGCUUUCAAGAAAUCCAGGGACCAUCCCACUGGUAUAUCCCAUGAUAUUGUUGCUCAAAACUCAUUAUAGAAACAACGCUUAACAAAACUUGGAGGGAGAAGCUGAUCUGGUAGCAGCUUUGAACAGAGUUUAAAUGAGAAUUUCUACCCUGAAAAUUGUAUAUGUACAUGGUAUUACUAGGAAAACAAACUGCAUAUGACAGCCCAUGUUCUGGAAAUUUAUUGCCUUGUUACUGAGUAAAACAUCAGCUUUUUCUGAAGGGUCAGGUGGGAAUUUAUUUUCAGACAUGAUGAAAUAAAUCAAUUUCCUGUUGCUGUAAGACCCGAGGUGUCGUUCUCAGCUGAUAUUUUGACAUGUUUUUGAAGGAUUUCAAAAUAUAUACUCUUUUGCAAAAGUGAUUUCCUCUUUAUUUUCUCAGAUUACGGAAACAAAUUGUUUCACUCACACGGUUAAUCACAGGAUUAAAAACAACAAAUUUAAAAAACAAAACAACACACAAAAAAGUGACACAAUGCCAACAAUAGUUUUCAAGACAAGUUUCCUGAUCAGACUUUGUUUGAUGCUUGAAAAGAUUCAGUCAUCCUAAAGUUUCAGUGAGCUCACUCAGUAGAAGAAAGACAGUACUGGAAUAUAAUGAGUUCAAUUUUUUUAGUUAAAUUUAUUGAAAAAUAAUACAUACAGACAAAUAAAACAAUAGAAGCUUUAGGUACGAAUAGAAAAAGAUGUGUUAAAAGAAAACAAAGAUUUGACAAAGAUUUUAUGCUGGGUGCCUUUCCUUUGGUAAAUGGUAAAUGGACUUGUUCUUAUACAGCGCUUUUCUACUCUUCUGAGCGCUUCAAAGCGCUUUAUACAACUUGUGUAUUCACCCAUUCACACCCAUUCGCACAAGCACAUGUUUCUAAGUGCUUUCUAACUAACAUUUACACACAUUCAUACUCCGAUGGAUGCAUCGGAGAGCAAUUUGGUGUUAGUAUCUUGUCCAAGGAUGGCAUGCAGACUAGACCAACCUUCCGAUCAGUAGAUGACCUGCUCUACCGCCUGAGCUACAGCCACACUCCUCAGUUGAGGCGGGUGGAAAUGUCAGAGUGUGCUGAUGUUACAGUGGUUAGAACUGCCACCUCAAAGUGGCUGCGAUUCUCAGGAUAGCAGUUAACUGAGGCGUUGUCACUGUCACCUAGCAACCCGUGAAGAAAUAGUUGGCGUUCCUUAGACGUAUGUUCAAAGAUGUCUUUAGCAUCUUUUCAAUGAGUUUUGCCUGAGCUCCUUUCCUGCUUUUUUUCAAAAGAGGUAAUUGAAUUGAAUUGAUUGAUUGAUAAUACUAUUCAUCCAGAGGGAAAUUGGGUUAAGGCUGCCAGCCGUGCCAGCGUCAUCUUACCGUUCCAACCAUACAUACAUUACACAAACAUCACAUGGGGAAGACUUCUCUCCAAGAUGUUAUCCAUAUUGAGUUCAAAACACAGUCUGAGUACUCACAGCCCUGCCCAUCAUCUAUAAUGUCGGCCAGCCUUGUGGGAUUUUGAACAGCUGUAGCCGUUUCUUGUACUUCGAUAAGCCAGGUCCGAGCCAGCUCCAAUCAGUCAGAUCGUGGUUCCGAAUUGGUAGAUGUCGUUCAAUGUCCUCCAUCGAGAGUGUCGCCAGACACACGACGCAACCGACCAUCGAGUAUGCGGCAGCAAACGUCUCCUCAGGACAAUCAAGCUCUCCCAAGCCCCGGAAGGUGUUAAUUCUAUUACUGGACCAGUUGAUCAAAUCCAUAAUUAUUUAGGUUUUAGAGAACAAAACUGAGAAACUCUUUGAGGGUUAGAGAAUAAGCGAGACAAUACAAAAGACACGAGAAGCCAAGCAGGAAAGAUAAGGGAGAGGGAGAAGGAGAAAAGUGUGACCACCUCCGUCAAGAGCAAGAGAAUCAUGAAUAAUGCUAUGAGAAUGGAGAAUAGAAUAGAAUAGAAUUGACCAUUAUUGUUACUGUACAUGUACAGCGUGUUUACUCACAGCCUAGGGGAGAAGCUGUUAGUGAGUCUGGAGGUGUUGAACGUCAUUGACCUGUGGCACCAACCAGAGUGCACAAGGGGUCACCUGUGAUGUCCCUGGUUUUCCUGAUAGAAUAGAAUUCGACUUUAUUGUCAUUGCACAUGCACAGGUACAGGGCAACGAAAUGCAGUUUGCAUCCAUCCAGAAGUGCUUUAGUGAUAUAGAUAUAUUAGGAGGAUAUAGGAGGAGCUGAUGAUGACCCCCAGGGGUGGCAGAGGGCAGCCAAUGAGUUUCUGGGCAAUAUUAAUUACCCUCUGGCCAGCCUUCCUGUUCUCAGUUGUGGCUCCUGUGUACCAAACACUCAGGUGGUAGGAGAGCAUGCUCUCUACUCAGGAGCGGGAACGGGCCAGCAGCAGCUUCUGUCCAGAUUGUUCUUCCUGAGGACAAGCAGAAAGUGUAGCCGCUGCCGGGCCUUCUUUAGCAGGGUAUUGCUGUUGUGGGUCCAAGUGAGAUAGGCAGAGAUGUGGGAGCCCAGAAACCUGAAGGUGGAGACAGUUGGCAGUUUAUGAUGUGCUGACAGGCUAUCCACUCCAUGAAACCUGUUUCAGUUCUAAAUUUUAGCAGCAGGACAUUUCAAAUCAGCUGUGGUUGCCUCAGUAGUCUGCUGCUUCUUUCUUUUAAACGUCCACAGAAGCACAGAACCACCUAUAGUAACAACAAGGACAACAGCAACAACAACAGCAGGAACAACCAUCAGGACAGUUGGAGUUUCUUUCUCUUGAACGAAAUGCAUGUUUCCACCUCCAUGUUCUCCUUCAGUGAUGGGCUGCUCAAACAUGCUGUUAAGUGUUUCACCUGCAGAGAAAACAUGAAUUGUUAGAGCAGAAAUGCUGAGACACCAAAAUAAGAAACCAACAAGAGUGUGUGUUCUGCAGGUGAAACUACUGACAACAGCUUCAGUUACUCAUCUGGAGCAAAUUAUAUUUUACAGCUG